UGUGCAUCAAAGCAGAAAAAGGAAAUCAAUGUCCUUUGGUGAGAAGGUAAAACUGGUAUAUGAAAAUUGUGAGGUUCUUAAGAAGAAAGUUGGAAGGCUGAAGGGCUAUUUAGGCAUCGAAAGAGUUCCUGCCAGUUAUACUAGAGAAGAACAAAUAGAAGAGGACGAAAAAAAGGAGCAGGAAGAAGAAAAGCAAGAGGAAGAAGGAAAAGAAGAGGAAUUAGAAAAGGUAUGUGUUUUUACAAGGGAUUUUAAAAGCUUAUAAAUCGUGUUUUAAAGAUUUUUAGCCGUUUUUAAAAGAUAGGCAGUGUUAGAUAUGUAUUUACAAGGGAUUUUAAAGACUUCUUAAUGGGGUUUUAAAAGAUUGAAAUUCGUUUUUAAAGGAUAGGCAGUGUUCGAUAAGAUUUUACAACGGAUUUUAAAAGCUUUUUACAAGUGAUUUACAUGAGUAACUUGUAGUUAUAAAACUUGUAAUUUUAUAUAUAGGUUGAAUACAGAGGCGACGAAGGGACAGAAAAACAAGAAAUCCCCAAACAAGGCGAUGAAGAAAUGGAAGGGGAAGAAGAAAAGCAAGAGGAAGAAGGAAAAGAAGAGGAAGAAGAAAAAGUAUGUGUUUUUACAAGGGAUUUUAAAGACAUCUUAAUGGGGUUUUAAAUAUUUAAAUUCGUUUUAAAGGAUAGGCAGUGUUUGAUAAGUAUUUACAACGGAUUUUAAAAGCUUUUUAAAAAGUGAUUUACAUGAGUAACUUGUAGUUAUAAAACUUGUAAUUUUAUAUACAGGUUGAAUACAGAGGCGAUGAAGGGACAGAAAAACAAGAAAUCCCCAAACAAGGCGAUGAAGAAAUGGAAGGGGAAGAAGAAAAGCAAGAGGAAGAAGGAAAAGAAGAGGAAGAAGAAAAGGUAUGUGUUUUUACAAGGGAUUUUAAAAGCUUAUAAAUCGUGUUUUUAAGAUUUUUAGCCGUUUUAAAAAGAUAGGCAGUGUUAGAUAUGUAUUUACAAGGGAUUUUAAAGACUUCUUAAUGGGGUUUUAAAAGAUUGAAAUUCGUUUUUAAAGGAUAGGCAGUGUUCGAUAAGAUUUUACAACGGAUUUUAAAAGAUUUUUACAAGUGAUUUACAUGAGUAACUUGUAGUUAUAAAACUUGUAAUUUUAUAUAUAGGUUGAAUACAGAGGCGACGAAGGGACAGAAAAACAAGAAAUCCCCAAACAAGGCGAUGAAGAAAUGGAAGGGGAAGAAGAAAAGCAAGAGGAAGAAGGAAAAGAAGAGGAAGAAGAAAAAGUAUGUGUUUUUACAAGGGAUUUUAAAGACAUCUUAAUGGGGUUUUAAAUAUUUAAAUUCGUUUUAAAGGAUAAGCAGUGUUUGAUAAGUAUUUACAACGGAUUUUAAAAGCUUUUUAAAAAGUGAUUUACAUGAGUAACUUGUAGUUAUAAAACUUGUAAUUUUAUAUACAGGUUGAAUACAGAGGCGAUGAAGGGACAGAAAAACAAGAAAUCCCCAAACAAGGCGAUGAAGAAAUGGAAGGGGAAGAAGAAAAGCAAGAGGAAGAAGGAAAAGAAGAGGAAGAAGAAAAGGUAUGUGUUUUUACAAGGGAUUUUAAAAGCUUAUAAAUCGUGUUUUUAAGAUUUUUAGCCGUUUUAAAAAGAUAGGCAGUGUUAGAUAUGUAUUUACAAGGGAUUUUAAAGACUUUUUAAUGGGGUUUUAAAAGAUUGAAAUUCGUUUUUAAAGGGUAGGCAGUGUUCGAUAAGAUUUUACAACGGAUUUUAAAAGUUUUUUAAAAGUGAUUUACAUGACUAAUAACUGUGUCCUGGCUUGUAUUUGGGAACUUGUAAUUAUUUAUACAGGUUGAAUACAGAGAUCAUCAUUCUACUUGCAAUGUUGAAGAAACAGAAAAACAAGAGAAUCCCAAACAAGGCGAUGAAGAAAUGGAAAGAGAAGAAGGAAAAGAAGAAAAAGUAGAAGAACAUGAUGAAUAUAAUGAUGCUGCAGAUCAAGAAGCGUAUAUAAAUUUGUCAGAUGAUGAAGAUAAUGAUACUGCACCCAGAGAGAAAGAAUCACAAAAAAAAAAAAAGAAGAAACAAAUGUCUGCUUUCCUUAACUUUUUAAAAAGACAUGAUAAAAUUGUCAAAAA
Molecule: small RNA, 2126 nt
Filed under: Arabidopsis thaliana (thale cress)
Lineage: Eukaryota; Viridiplantae; Streptophyta; Magnoliopsida; Brassicales; Brassicaceae
Description: ATSL085670
Source: RNAcentral